GUUGUUUUGGCAGAAUAGUGCUAUUGAUUUAGAAUCAAUAUAUGUAUUUAACUUACAAAUAACA
RNAcentral lists this transfer RNA (64 nucleotides) under Oomorphoides metallicus. RNAcentral describes it as "tRNA-Leu". It matches the Rfam family "tRNA". From Rfam's summary of the family: Transfer RNA (tRNA) molecules are approximately 80 nucleotides in length. Their secondary structure includes four short double-helical elements and three loops (D, anti-codon, and T loops). Further hydrogen bonds mediate the characteristic L-shaped molecular structure. tRNAs have two regions of fundamental functional importance: the anti-codon, which is responsible for specific mRNA codon recognition, and the 3' end, to which the tRNAs corresponding amino acid is attached (by aminoacyl-tRNA synthetases). tRNAs cope with the degeneracy of the genetic code in two manners: having more than one tRNA (with a specific anti-codon) for a particular amino acid; and 'wobble' base-pairing, i.e. permitting non-standard base-pairing at the 3rd anti-codon position. The record is from RNAcentral. Lineage: Eukaryota; Metazoa; Arthropoda; Insecta; Coleoptera; Chrysomelidae.